Molecule: ribosomal RNA, 433 nt
Filed under: uncultured bacterium
Lineage: Bacteria
Description: partial 16S ribosomal RNA
Rfam family: Bacterial small subunit ribosomal RNA
Source: RNAcentral
AACGAACGCUGGCGGCAUGCCUAACACAUGCAAGUCGAACGAUACCUUCGGGUCUAGUUGCGCACGUGUGCGUAACGCGUGGGAACCUGCCCUUAGGUUCGGAAUAACUCCCCGAAAGGGGUGCUAAUACCGGAUAAUUUCUUCGGACCAAAGAUUUAUCGCCUUUGGAUGGGCCCGCGUUGGAUUAGCUAGUUGGUAGGGUAAAAGCCUACCAAGGCGACGAUCCAUAGCUGGUCUGAGAGGAUGAUCAGCCACACUGGGACUGAGACACGGCCCAGACUCCUACGGGAGGCAGCAGUGGGGAAUAUUGGACAAUGGGCGAAAGCCUGAUCCAGCAAUGCCGCGUGAGUGAUGAAGGCCUUAGGGUUGUAAAGCUCUUUUACCCGGGAUGAUAAUGACAGUACCGGGAGAAUAAGCUCCGACUAACUCCGUG